Molecule: ribosomal RNA, 467 nt
Filed under: uncultured bacterium
Lineage: Bacteria
Description: partial 16S ribosomal RNA
Rfam family: Bacterial small subunit ribosomal RNA
Source: RNAcentral
GACGAACGCUGGCGGCGUGCUUAACACAUGCAAGUCGAGCGGAAAGGCCCUGCUUUUGUGGGGUGCUCGAGUGGCGAACGGGUGAGUAACACGUGAGUAACCUGCCCUUGACUUUGGGAUAACUUCAGGAAACUGGGGCUAAUACCGGAUAGGAGCUCCUGCUGCAUGGUGGGGGUUGGAAAGUUUCGGCGGUUGGGGAUGGACUCGCGGCUUAUCAGCUUGUUGGUGGGGUAGUGGCUUACCAAGGCUUUGACGGGUAGCCGGCCUGAGAGGGUGACCGGCCACAUUGGGACUGAGAUACGGCCCAGACUCCUACGGGAGGCAGCAGUGGGGAAUAUUGCACAAGGGGCGGAAGCCUGAUGCAGCAACGCCGCGUGCGGGAUGACGGCCUUCGGGUGGUAAACCGCUUUCGCCUGUGACGAAGCGUGAGUGACGGUAAUGGGUAAAGAAGCACCGGCUAACUACGU